CGUACACUCCUGCGGGAGGCAGCAGUGGGGAAUAUUGGACAAUGGGCGCAAGCCUGAUCCAGCCAUGCCGCGUGAGUGAUGAAGGCCCUAGGGUUGUAAAGCUCUUUCACCGGUGAAGAUAAUGACGGUAACCGGAGAAGAAGCCCCGGCUAACUUCGUGCCAGCAGCCGCGGUAAUACGAAGGGGGCUAGCGUUGUUCGGAUUUACUGGGCGUAAAGCGCACGUAGGCGGACUAUUAAGUCAGGGGUGAAAUCCCGGGGCUCAACCCCGGAACUGCCUUUGAUACUGGUAGUCUUGAGUUCGAGAGAGGUGAGUGGAAUUCCGAGUGUAGAGGUGAAAUUCGUAGAUAUUCGGAGGAACACCAGUGGCGAAGGCGGCUCACUGGCUCGAUACUGACGCUGAGGUGCGAAAGCGUGGGGAGCAAACAGGAUUAGAUACCCCAGUAGUCCCAUG
RNAcentral lists this ribosomal RNA (453 nucleotides) under uncultured organism. RNAcentral's name for it is "partial 16S ribosomal RNA". It matches the Rfam family "Bacterial small subunit ribosomal RNA", at positions 330 to 799 of the family's 1533-position model. The record is from RNAcentral.